GACGAACGCUGGCGGCGUGCUUAACACAUGCAAGUCGAACGGAAAGGCCCUGCUUUUGUGGGGUGCUCGAGUGGCGAACGGGUGAGUAACACGUGAGUAACCUGCCCUUGACUUUGGGAUAACUUCAGGAAACUGGGGCUAAUACCGGAUAGGAGCUCCUGCUGCAUGGUGGGGGUUGGAAAGUUUCGGCGGUUGGGGAUGGACUCGCGGCUUAUCAGCUUGUUGGUGGGGUAGUGGCUUACCAAGGCUUUGACGGGUAGCCGGCCUGAGAGGGUGACCGGCGACAUUGGGACUGAGAUACGGCCCAGACUCCUACGGGAGGCAGAAGUGGGGAAUAUUGCACAAUGGGCGGAAGCCUGAUGCAGCAACGCUGCGUGCGGGAUGACGGGCUUCGGGUUGUAAACCGCUUUCGCCUGUGACGAAGCGUGAGUGACGGUAAUGGGUAAAGAAGCACCGGCUAACUACGUG
Molecule: ribosomal RNA, 468 nt
Filed under: uncultured bacterium
Lineage: Bacteria
Description: partial 16S ribosomal RNA
Rfam family: Bacterial small subunit ribosomal RNA
Source: RNAcentral